RNAcentral lists this transfer RNA (72 nucleotides) under Dictyobacter sp. RNAcentral describes it as "tRNA-Gly". It matches the Rfam family "tRNA". From Rfam's summary of the family: Transfer RNA (tRNA) molecules are approximately 80 nucleotides in length. Their secondary structure includes four short double-helical elements and three loops (D, anti-codon, and T loops). The record is from RNAcentral. RNAcentral also lists the same sequence under 1 other name. Lineage: Bacteria; Bacillati; Chloroflexota; Ktedonobacteria; Ktedonobacterales; Dictyobacteraceae.
GCGGGAGUGGCUCAGUGGUAGAGCACUUCCUUGCCAAGGAAGAUGUCGCGGGUUCGAGUCCCGCCUCCCGCU